GGUAAAAUGGCUGGGUAAGCAUUAGACUGUAAAUCUAAAGACAGAGGCCAAGGCCGCUUUUUAGCA
Molecule: transfer RNA, 66 nt
Organism: Homo sapiens (human)
Lineage: Eukaryota; Metazoa; Chordata; Mammalia; Primates; Hominidae
Rfam family: tRNA
About the family: Transfer RNA (tRNA) molecules are approximately 80 nucleotides in length.
Source: Rfam